ACAUCCAGAGAAUUUAGCAGAGAUGCUUUAGUGCCUUCGGGAACUCUGAGACAGGUGCUGCAUGGCUGUCGUCAGCUCGUGUUGUGAAAUGUUGGGUUAAGUCCCGNAACGAGCGCAACCCUUAUCCUUGUUGCCAGCACGUAAUGGUGGGAACUCAAAGGAGACUGCCGGUGAUAAACCGGAGGAAGGUGGGGAUGACGUCAAGUCAUCAUGGCCCUUACGAGUAGGGCUACACACGUGCUACAAUGGCGCAUACAAAGAGAAGCGACCUCGCGAGAGCAAGCGGACCUCAUAAAGUGCGUCGUAGUCCGGAUUGGAGUCUGCAACUCGACUCCAUGAAGUCGGAAUCGCUAGUAAUCGUAAAUCAGAAUGUUACGGUGAAUACGUUCCCGGGCCUUGUACACACCGCCCGUCACACCAUGGGAGUGGGUUGCAAAAGAAGUAGAUAGCUUAACCUUCGGGAGGGCGUUUACCACUUUGUGAUUCAUGACUGGGGUGAAGUCGUAACAAGGUAGGCGUAGUGCU
Molecule: ribosomal RNA, 525 nt
Filed under: uncultured bacterium
Lineage: Bacteria
Description: bacterial SSU rRNA
Rfam family: Bacterial small subunit ribosomal RNA
Source: RNAcentral